This 61-nucleotide ribosomal RNA is filed under the name Arthrinium sp. Its description in RNAcentral is "partial 28S ribosomal RNA". RNAcentral also lists the same sequence under 1 other name. Lineage: Eukaryota; Fungi; Ascomycota; Sordariomycetes; Amphisphaeriales; Apiosporaceae. The record is from RNAcentral.
GGUUGACCUCGGAUCAGGUAGGAAUACCCGCUGAACUUAAGCAUAUCAAUAAGGCGGAGGA